CCCAGACUCCUACGGGAGGCAGCAGUGGGGAAUAUUGCGCAAUGGGGGGAACCCUGAUGCAGCGACGCCGCGUGGGUGAAGGAGCGCCUCGGUGCGUAAAGCCCUAUCGGCAGGGGAGAAACAGACGGUACCUGACUAAGAAGCCCCGGCUAACUACGUGCCAGCAGCCGCGGUAAUACGUAGGGGGCAAGCGUUAAUCGGAAUUACUGGGCGUAAAGCGCUCGUAGGCGGUAUGUCAAGUCAAGGGUGAAAUCCCCGCGCUCAACGUGGGAACUGCCUUUGAAACUGGCAAACUGGAGUGUGUGAGAGGAUAGUGGAAUUCCAGGUGUAGGAGUGAAAUCCGUAGAUAUCUGGAGGAACAUCAGUGGCGAAGGCGACUAUCUGGCACAUAACUGACGCUGAGGAGCGAAAGCGUGGGUAGCAAACAGGAUUAGAUACCCUAGUACCG
Molecule: ribosomal RNA, 448 nt
Filed under: uncultured bacterium
Lineage: Bacteria
Description: bacterial SSU rRNA
Rfam family: Bacterial small subunit ribosomal RNA
Source: RNAcentral